GACGAACGCUGGCGGCGUGCUUAACACAUGCGAGUCGAACGGAAAGGCCCCUUUGGGGGUACUCGAGUGGCGAACGGGUGAGUAACACGUGAGUAACCUGCCCUUGACUUCGGGAUAACUUCAGGAAACUGGGUCUAAUACCGGAUAGGAAUCCUUGCUGCAUGGUGGGGGGUGGAAAGCUUCGGGGGUUUUGGAUGGACGCACGGCUUAUCAGCUUGUUGGUGGGGUAGUGGCUUACCAAGGCUUUGACGGGUAGCCGGCCCGAGAGGGCGACCGGCCACAUUGGGAAUGAGAUACGGCCCAGACUCCUAAGGGAGGCAGGAGGGGGGAAUAUUGCACCAUGGGCGGAAGCCCGAUGCAGCAACGCCGCGUGCGGGAUGAAGGCCUUCGGGUUGUAAACCGCUUUCAGCAGGGGAGAAGCUUGUGGUGACGGUACCUGCAGAAGAAGCACCGGCUAACUACGUG
RNAcentral lists this ribosomal RNA (465 nucleotides) under uncultured bacterium. Its description in RNAcentral is "partial 16S ribosomal RNA". It matches the Rfam family "Bacterial small subunit ribosomal RNA", at positions 28 to 507 of the family's 1533-position model. The record is from RNAcentral.